This 640-nucleotide ribosomal RNA is filed under the name uncultured Actinomycetes bacterium. RNAcentral's name for it is "bacterial SSU rRNA". It matches the Rfam family "Bacterial small subunit ribosomal RNA", at positions 232 to 885 of the family's 1533-position model. Lineage: Bacteria; Bacillati; Actinomycetota; Actinomycetes. The record is from RNAcentral.
CGCGGCCUAUCCGCUUGUUGGUGGGGUAACGGCCCACCAAGGCUUCGACGGGUAGCUGGUCUGAGAGGACGAUCAGCCACACUGGGACUGAGACACGGCCCAGACUCCUACGGGAGGCAGCAGUGGGGAAUCUUGCGCAAUGGGCGAAAGCCUGACGCAGCAACGCCGCGUGCGGGAUGACGGCCUUCGGGUUGUAAACCGCUUUCAGCAGGGACGAAUUCUGACGGUACCUGCAGAAGAAGCCCCGGCCAACUACGUGCCAGCAGCCGCGGUAACACGUAGGGGGCGAGCGUUGUCCGGAUUUAUUGGGCGUAAAGAGCUCGUAGGCGGCUCGGUAAGUCAACUGUGAAAGCUCCGGGCUCAACUCGGAGAGGCCAGUUGAUACUGCCGUGGCUAGAGUCCGGUAGGGGAGCGUGGAAUUCCUGGUGUAGCGGUGAAAUGCGCAGAUAUCAGGAGGAACACCAGCGGCGAAGGCGGCGCUCUGGGCCGGAACUGACGCUGAGGAGCGAAAGCGUGGGUAGCAAACAGGAUUAGAUAUCCUGGUAGUCCACGCCGUAAACGUUGGGCACUAGGUGUGGGUCUCAACCAACGAGAUCCGUGCCGUAGCUAACGCACUAAGUGCCCCGCCUGGGGAGUACGG